Molecule: ribosomal RNA, 779 nt
Filed under: uncultured bacterium
Lineage: Bacteria
Description: bacterial SSU rRNA
Rfam family: Bacterial small subunit ribosomal RNA
Source: RNAcentral
GCUGGCGGCGUGCCCAAUACAUGCAAGUCGAGCGAACAGAUAAGGAGCUUGCUCCUUUGACGUUAGCGGCGGACGGGUGAGUAACACGUGGGUAACCUACCUAUAAGACUGGAAUAACUCCGGGAAACCGGGGCUAAUGCCGGAUAACAUUUAGAACCGCAUGGUUCUAAAGUGAAAGAUGGUUUUGCUAUCACUUAUAGAUGGACCCGCGCCGUAUUAGCUAGUUGGUAAGGUAAUGGCUUACCAAGGCAACGAUACGUAGCCGACCUGAGAGGGUGAUCGGCCACACUGGAACUGAGACACGGUCCAGACUCCUACGGGAGGCAGCAGUAGGGAAUCUUCCGCAAUGGGCGAAAGCCUGACGGAGCAACGCCGCGUGAGUGAUGAAGGGUUUCGGCUCGUAAAACUCUGUUAUUAGGGAAGAACAAACGUGUAAGUAACUGUGCACGUCUUGACGGUACCUAAUCAGAAAGCCACGGCUAACUACGUGCCAGCAGCCGCGGUAAUACGUAGGUGGCAAGCGUUAUCCGGAAUUAUUGGGCGUAAAGCGCGCGUAGGCGGUUUCUUAAGUCUGAUGUGAAAGCCCACGGCUCAACCGUGGAGGGUCAUUGGAAACUGGGAGACUUGAGUGCAGAAGAGGAAAGUGGAAUUCCAUGUGUAGCGGUGAAAUGCGCAGAGAUAUGGAGGAACACCAGUGGCGAAGGCGACUUUCUGGUCUGUAACUGACGCUGAUGUGCGAAAGCGUGGGGAUCAAACAGGAUUAGAUACCCUGGUAGUCC